Molecule: ribosomal RNA, 429 nt
Filed under: Chloroflexota bacterium
Lineage: Bacteria; Bacillati; Chloroflexota
Description: Chloroflexi bacterium partial 16S ribosomal RNA
Rfam family: Bacterial small subunit ribosomal RNA
Source: RNAcentral
UGGGGAAUAUUGCACAAUGGGCGCAAGCCUGAUGCAGCCAUGCCGCGUGUAUGAAGAAGGCCUUCGGGUUGUAAAGUACUUUCAGCGGGGAGGAAGGGAGUAAAGUUAAUACCUUUGCUCAUUGACGUUACCCGCAGAAGAAGCACCGGCUAACUCCGUGCCAGCAGCCGCGGUAAUACGGAGGGUGCAAGCGUUAAUCGGAAUUACUGGGCGUAAAGCGCACGCAGGCGGUUUGUUAAGUCAGAUGUGAAAUCCCCGGGCUCAACCUGGGAACUGCAUCUGAUACUGGCAAGCUUGAGUCUCGUAGAGGGGGGUAGAAUUCCAGGUGGAGCGGUGAAAUGCGUAGAGAUCUGGAGGAAUACCGGUGGCGAAGGCGGCCCCCUGGACGAAGACUGACGCUCAGGUGCGAAAGCGUGGGGGGCAAACAGG